Molecule: ribosomal RNA, 119 nt
Filed under: Pteropus alecto (black flying fox)
Lineage: Eukaryota; Metazoa; Chordata; Mammalia; Chiroptera; Pteropodidae
Also listed under: 1 other name
Source: RNAcentral
GUCUACGGCCAUGCCACCCUGAACAAGCUCGAUCCCAUCUGAUCUCGGAAGCUAAGCAGAGUCGGGCCUGGUUAGUACUUGGAUGAGAGACCAUCUAGGAAGACCAGGUGCUGUAGGCA